CGGAGGGAUCAUUGCUGGAACGCGCUUCGGCGCACCCAGAAACCCUUUGUGAACUUAUACCUUACUGUUGCCUCGGCGCAGGCCGGCCCCCCCACCGGGGCCCCUCGGAGACGAGGAGCAGCCCGCCGGCGGCCAACCAAACUCUUGUUUCUUAGUGAAUCUCUGAGUAAAAAAACAUAAAUGAAUCAAAACUUUCAACAACGGAUCUCUUGGUUCUGGCAUCGAUGAAGAACGCAGCGAAAUGCGAUAAGUAAUGUGAAUUGCAGAAUUCAGUGAAUCAUCGAAUCUUUGAACGCACAUUGCGCCCUCUGGUAUUCCGGAGGGCAUGCCUGUUCGAGCGUCAUUUCAACCCUCAAGCCUGGCUUGGUGUUGGGGCACUGCUUCGAGAGGAGCAGGCCCUGAAAUCUAGUGGCGAGCUCGCCAGGACCCCGAGCGUAGUAGUUAUAUCUCGUUCUGGAAGGCCCUGGCGGUGCCCUGCCGUUAAACCCCCAACUUCAGAAAUUU
RNAcentral lists this ribosomal RNA (504 nucleotides) under fungal sp. 229c4b. RNAcentral's name for it is "eukaryotic LSU rRNA". The stretch from base 190 to 343 matches the Rfam family "5.8S ribosomal RNA". Lineage: Eukaryota; Fungi. The record is from RNAcentral.